GCGGCUGUUCGUAACUUCCGUUAUGGACGGCCCAAUAUGGCAGAUGACCGUACCGAUUAUAUAUUAUAUUUCCUAAAUACUUUCGAAUAAAAGCAUUACUGGUAGAGAAAAUUUGGUAUUUGUCUGUGAAAUAUGUAGGUCAACACAAAUAUCAAGCCUUUUAAAGAUAGAAUGGCUAAAAAAUGGUUUUAUACGACGUUAAAAAUA
Molecule: long non-coding RNA, 207 nt
Filed under: Mytilus galloprovincialis (Mediterranean mussel)
Lineage: Eukaryota; Metazoa; Mollusca; Bivalvia; Mytilida; Mytilidae
Source: RNAcentral